RNAcentral lists this ribosomal RNA (1455 nucleotides) under Triticum aestivum (bread wheat). RNAcentral's name for it is "partial small subunit ribosomal RNA". Lineage: Eukaryota; Viridiplantae; Streptophyta; Magnoliopsida; Poales; Poaceae. The record is from RNAcentral.
AUGGCGGGUGGAGGCUGGGGUGGAGGUCGUAGGCCAAACCCCAGGCCUGGUGGGGGUGGUGCGGCCGGGGGCGGACCUAUGGCCUUCCACCAUGGCGGAGCCCCUACCCCCCUGCCCUCCUCGGUUGGGCAAACUGCGCAGGCUCAGAUCCAGUACCAGGGCCCUGGGAUGACCUCUGGCGCUCCCCCUGGGGUCUGGAACUCUCCUCAGUUUGGGCAGUGGCCACAGUUCUUUCUUCCUCAACACCAAAUGCAACAAUUGAUGCCACAGCAACAGAUGAUGCAGCAGAUGGGGCCUCAGUUUGGGUUCCCAGGUCAGUUCUUCCCGCAGCAGAUCUUCCACCCGGAGAUGGUUGUUACCAUGGGGGCGGGCUCCAGCUCUGUACCUCAAUCUGGGGAGAACCAACCUCAAAAUCAAAGGAAGAAGACCCAGAAAAAUCAGAGAUAUCGUGGAGCUGUGGAAACUGCUGGGGAGAAAUCCAAUCCUGUGCAAGUUGCAUGUGUUGAAGCUGCUGUGAAUUAUGACAUGAGACUGAAGGAUGUCAUUUGCUACAACUGUGGUGAGUCGGCUCAUUAUGUGGGGCAGUGCGUCGCUGCCAAACUGUGCUUCAUCUGUCAUAAGGUCGGGCAUCACAUGGAUGCCUGUCCUAACUGGUUUAAACCUCUCCCUGCUGCUACGUAUCUUGGCAGUGCUAAUGUGGGUUUGGGUUUUUUCCACAUUGAGUGCAGUGGGGCGGAUGACAACAAAUGGCUGAACCUCUCCAAUGUUGGGAUUGCAGUCAUUGAGGAAGGGUCUGUUACUGUCCAAGAACUUAAGCAAAAUUUCUCAGAGAUCUGGAGGACUAACUGGCCGUGGCAGAUUAGAAAGCUGAGUGAGAAGCAGUUCCUAGUUAGAUUCCCCCCUCACAUGAAGGUCAAAGAUCUUAUUGAGCUGCCUUCCAUCAACCUAAAGAAGAAGGGAGUCACUGUGUCCUUUAUGAAGUGGGAGGGAGAGAUUGAAUGCUAUGCAGAGACCCAAGAUGUCUGGAUUAAUGUGACGGGCCUGCCUCCAAAGUGGAUCACUUGGAAGGUUAUCUCCCAAGUUGAUUCUAUGUUUGGGAUCCUGACUAAUGUGGACUGGCAGGAGAUUUUCAGAAGCUUUUUCAAGAAUGUAACCAUCCAAGUGGCUGUUAGAGAUCACUCCAAAAUCCCAAAAGAUAGGCUGGCGGAGAUUGAGAAGGAGCUAUACUUACUCCAGUUCUCCCUGGUCACUGAUCAUGUGGAUGCUGGGGAUAAUCUAGUGAUCCCUCUAGUGAUAAUAGGGGAGAUGACCUAUUGGAUGAUAACUCUGGGAAAAGUGAUGGAAAUGGCAGAAGGAGAGCUAUGGACACUAAAAAAAUGUUGUAAAUGGAAAUGGUGGUGGUUCAUCAACUCCUGCUGCUGGAGGUCCAACUACUGGGGGUGCUGGCAAAAGUAA